Molecule: transfer RNA, 26 nt
Filed under: Bos taurus (domestic cattle)
Lineage: Eukaryota; Metazoa; Chordata; Mammalia; Artiodactyla; Bovidae
Description: transfer RNA-Pro
Source: RNAcentral
AAGACUCAAGGAAGAAACUGCAGUCU